AUUGAACGCUGGCGGCAUGCCUUACACAUGCAAGUCGAACGGCAGCACGGGAGCAAUCCUGGUGGCGAGUGGCGAACGGGUGAGUAAUAUAUCGGAACGUGCCCAGUCGUGGGGGAUAACGUAGCGAAAGCUACGCUAAUACCGCAUACGAUCUACGGAUGAAAGCGGGGGAUCGCAAGACCUCGCGCGAUUGGAGCGGCCGAUAUCAGAUUAGGUAGUUGGUGGGGUAAAGGCCUACCAAGCCUGCGAUCUGUAGCUGGUCUGAGAGGACGACCAGCCACACUGGAACUGAGACACGGUCCAGACUCCUACGGGAGGCAGCAGUGGGGAAUUUUGGACAAUGGGCGCAAGCCUGAUCCAGCAAUGCCGCGUGCAGGAUGAAGGCCUUCGGGUUGUAAACUGCUUUUGUUACGGAGCGAAACGGCUUUCUCUAAUACAGGGGCGUAAUGACGGUACCGUAAGAAUAAGCACCGGCUAACUACGUGCCAGCACG
Molecule: ribosomal RNA, 493 nt
Filed under: uncultured bacterium
Lineage: Bacteria
Description: bacterial SSU rRNA
Rfam family: Bacterial small subunit ribosomal RNA
Source: RNAcentral